GACAGGAGGGGCAAACGUUAUUCAUCUUGAUUGGGCGCAAAGGGUAUGUAGGCUGUUUGUAAUAAAUCUCAGUUUAAAAGCUAAAACAAUAUUUUAGAAUCGAUUGAGAUAUUCAUACAACUAGAGUCCCACACAUGUUAUAAGGAAUUCCCGGAGAAGCAUUAAAAUGUGUAGAUACCAGGAGGAACACUGUAAAUGAAAAUGGUUUUCAUUGUGUGACUGACGCUGAGGUACGAAGGCACGGGGAGCAAACAGG
This 256-nucleotide ribosomal RNA is filed under the name uncultured bacterium. Its description in RNAcentral is "partial 16S ribosomal RNA". It matches the Rfam family "Bacterial small subunit ribosomal RNA", at positions 524 to 776 of the family's 1533-position model. The record is from RNAcentral.